Nicotiana attenuata is the source of this 678-nucleotide long non-coding RNA. RefSeq lists it as uncharacterized. The transcript is spliced from 2 exons. Lineage: Eukaryota; Viridiplantae; Streptophyta; Magnoliopsida; Solanales; Solanaceae. The record is from RefSeq and is a predicted model, not a curated record.
AAAACAUUCUAAAAAAACCAAUCAGCCGCAGCAAAGAGGAGCGCCGCAGCCAUAGAGCUCCCCACCCCCAUCAGUUCAUCUCUUUCCUCAUAAACAAAACCAGAACACAAAAUUCCAUCUCCCUAAAAUAAUGCUGGGAGCUAAUUGAAAAGAAAAGCAGGGCAGCCGCAAAAGGAAACAGUACCCCCGCCCCCCUGAGCUCGACUUCUUCGCGAACCCCACCCCAAACGACCACUGCUUCGUCUUCUUCGUCCUCGCUGCUGGAAACGGAUACACACAUGCACAUACACCCAAAGAAGCCAUGGAAUACGAUGGAGCUUUGAUUGAGGUUUGAUACGCCGUUGAUUCGAGGGCUGUCGUUCAUGUUGGAAGUUCGCGGUUUCUGCUGGUUUUUUCUUAGCGCUGAUUUCGCUCAGAUUUGGAGUCGAAACUCGCCUCUGUUUUAGCGUUCAAGUUUCUUUGCAUUCCAGGCGUUGUAUUUUGCAAUUGCUCCUUCUCAUAUCAUUUUCGUAAUCGCUCCCUCUCAUGUUUCGACUGUUCUUAGAGUAUAUAUUCAAUUUUGAUAAUUGUUCUGUUUUCAAGCUAAGCUUUGUCGUACUGGAUUACUUAUUUUCAGUAUUUAAUGGGUUAGUUGUAUUUUCUUGGUAGGUUUGUGUUCAAAUAUAUUCUUGUUCUUAA